This 557-nucleotide ribosomal RNA is filed under the name uncultured archaeon. RNAcentral describes it as "bacterial SSU rRNA". It matches the Rfam family "Archaeal small subunit ribosomal RNA", at positions 343 to 903 of the family's 1478-position model. The record is from RNAcentral.
CACUUUACAAUGCGGGAAACCGCGAUAAGGGAACCCCGAGUGCCAGCAUCAAAUGUUGGCUGUCCAGAUGAUUAAAAAUCAUUUGUUAGCAAGGGCCGGGCAAGACCGGUGCCAGCCGCCGCGGUAACACCGGCGGCCCGAGUGGUAGCCGUUUUUAUUGGGUCUAAAGGGUCCGUAGCCGGCCUGAUAAGUCCUUUGGGAAAUCUGACAGCUUAACUGUCAGGCUUCUAAGGGAUACUGUCAGGCUUGGGACCGGAAGAGGUAAGGGGUACUCCAGGGGUAGGAGUGAAAUCUUGUAAUCCCUGGGGGACCAUCUGUGGCGAAGGCGCCUUACCAGAACGGGUCCGACGGUGAGGGACGAAAGCUAGGGGAGCAAACCGGAUUAGAUACCCGGGUAGUCCUAGCUGUAAACGAUGCUCGCUAGGUGUCAGACACGGUGCGACCGUGUUUGGUGCCGCAGGGAAGCCGUUAAGCGAGCCACCUGGGAAGUACGGUCGCAAGGCUGAAACUUAAAGGAAUUGGCGGGGGAGCACUACAACGGGUGGAGCCUGCGGUUU